Molecule: ribosomal RNA, 253 nt
Filed under: uncultured bacterium
Lineage: Bacteria
Description: partial 16S ribosomal RNA
Rfam family: Bacterial small subunit ribosomal RNA
Source: RNAcentral
UACGUAGGUGGCAAGCGUUGUCCGGAAUUAUUGGGCGUAAAGCGCGCGCAGGCGGCUUCUUAAGUCUGAUGUGAAAGCCCACGGCUCAACCGUGGAGGGUCAUUGGAAACUGGGGAGCUUGAGUGCAGAAGAGGAGAGUGGAAUUCCAUGUGUAGCGGUGAAAUGCGUAGAUAUAUGGAGGAACACCAGUGGCGAAGGCGACCCCCUGGGCCAAUACUGACGCUGAGGUACGAAAGCGUGGGUAGCGAACAGG